GACCGUGAAGCUGUGCAGUGUAAUCAUCAGCUGGCCAGCGGUGCUGAGAAGGGGGCUGGAGAGGCAGGGGGUGUCCGGCCAGGCGCUGGAAUCCUAAAGUACAUCUUUGAAAAUGGUCCAUGGAUCUGUUUGGAGACAAGCCACAAAUGCCCACACGGGGAGCCUCGAAGAAACUACAGGAGUUUCACCACUGGCUGUACAGGAGAACGUUACAUAAAUCCAAUUAACUGUCCUCCAUUUAAAACCCACUCCCACUUCCCAGCUGCGUCUCCUACUCUGCCGUUUUUAGGAGAUAACCUGGAAACCCAGGCAUGCCUACCAGCGAAUGUCCCGGAAAAUUAAAUGCCCGGUAGAACUGUGCCAUGCAGUACUCAUGGAUUCCACCUUUAACCCCUGUAGAGAAAUACUUCCUGCACAUUUCUAACUGGAUUUCUGACAACAAAAUCAUCGUCUAUUUUGACAAAUUUAAGCAAAACACGGCCUCUUUCUUCUCCUCUCCAAACAAGAGCCACAACAUGUACCCGCAGGGUAUGCCGUGACAACUCUCAACACGGUGGGGAAGACAGACAGCGAGGGAGCAAACGAGAACAGGUAGUCACGGACAGCGGCAGGUGCCAUGGUGAAGUUCAGGCAGAAGAACGGGAAAGGAGGCCGGAGAAGGCUGCCGGCCUGUGCCGGGUGGUCAGCAAAGCAGUCUCUGAGUUGAGGACACCUGAG
This is a long non-coding RNA of Prionailurus viverrinus (fishing cat), 717 nucleotides long. RefSeq lists it as uncharacterized. The record is from RefSeq and is a predicted model, not a curated record. The transcript has 3 exons. NCBI's taxonomy places the organism in Eukaryota, Metazoa, Chordata, Mammalia, Carnivora, Felidae.